This 2055-nucleotide ribosomal RNA is filed under the name Yersinia enterocolitica. RNAcentral's name for it is "partial 23S ribosomal RNA". It matches the Rfam family "Bacterial large subunit ribosomal RNA", at positions 137 to 2213 of the family's 2925-position model. The record is from RNAcentral. Lineage: Bacteria; Pseudomonadati; Pseudomonadota; Gammaproteobacteria; Enterobacterales; Yersiniaceae.
AAUUCGUUGCACUAUUGCAUGGUGAAUACAUAGCCAUGCAAGGCGAACCGGGGGAACUGAAACAUCUAAGUACCCCGAGGAAAAGAAAUCAACCGAGAUUCCCCCAGUAGCGGCGAGCGAACGGGGAGGAGCCCAGAACCUGAAUCAGCGUAUGUGUUAGUGGAAGCGUCUGGAAAGUCGCACGGUACAGGGUGAUAGUCCCGUACACAAAAAUGCAUAUGUUGUGAGUUCGAUGAGUAGGGCGGGACACGUGACAUCCUGUCUGAAUAUGGGGGGACCAUCCUCCAAGGCUAAAUACUCCUGACUGACCGAUAGUGAACCAGUACCGUGAGGGAAAGGCGAAAAGAACCCCGGCGAGGGGAGUGAAAUAGAACCUGAAACCGUGUACGUACAAGCAGUGGGAGCACCUUCGUGGUGUGACUGCGUACCUUUUGUAUAAUGGGUCAGCGACUUAUAUUUUGUAGCAAGGUUAACCGAAUAGGGGAGCCGUAGGGAAACCGAGUCUUAACUGGGCGAAUAGUUGCAAGGUAUAGACCCGAAACCCGGUGAUCUAGCCAUGGGCAGGUUGAAGGUUGGGUAACACUAACUGGAGGACCGAACCGACUAAUGUUGAAAAAUUAGCGGAUGACUUGUGGCUGGGGGUGAAAGGCCAAUCAAACCGGGAGAUAGCUGGUUCUCCCCGAAAGCUAUUUAGGUAGCGCCUCGUGAACUCAUCUUCGGGGGUAGAGCACUGUUUCGGCUAGGGGGUCAUCCCGACUUACCAAACCGAUGCAAACUCCGAAUACCGAAGAAUGUUAUCACGGGAGACACACGGCGGGUGCUAACGUCCGUCGUGAAGAGGGAAACAACCCAGACCGCCAGCUAAGGUCCCAAAGUCAUGGUUAAGUGGGAAACGAUGUGGGAAGGCAUAGACAGCCAGGAUGUUGGCUUAGAAGCAGCCAUCAUUUAAAGAAAGCGUAAUAGCUCACUGGUCGAGUCGGCCUGCGCGGAAGAUGUAACGGGGCUAAACCAUGCACCGAAGCUGCGGCAGCGACGCUUAGGCGUUGUUGGGUAGGGGAGCGUUCUGUAAGCCGUUGAAGGUGACCUGUGAGGGUUGCUGGAGGUAUCAGAAGUGCGAAUGCUGACAUAAGUAACGAUAAUGCGGGUGAAAAACCCGCACGCCGGAAGACCAAGGGUUCCUGUCCAACGUUAAUCGGGGCAGGGUGAGUCGACCCCUAAGGCGAGGCUGAAAAGCGUAGUCGAUGGGAAACAGGUUAAUAUUCCUGUACUUGGUGUUACUGCGAAGGGGGGACGGAGAAGGCUAGGCUAGCCGGGCGACGGUUGUCCCGGUUUAAGCAUGUAGGCGGAGUGACUUGGUAAAUCCGGUUGCUUAUCAACGCUGAGGUGUGAUGACGAGUCACUACGGUGGUGAAGUAGUUGAUGCCAAGCUUCCAGGAAAAGCCUCUAAGCAUCAGGUAACAUUAAAUCGUACCCCAAACCGACACAGGUGGUCAGGUAGAGAAUACUCAGGCGCUUGAGAGAACUCGGGUGAAGGAACUAGGCAAAAUGGUGCCGUAACUUCGGGAGAAGGCACGCUGGCAUUAGGUAAAGAGACUUGCUCUCGGCGCCGAAGCCAGUCGCAGAUACCAGCUGGCUGCAACUGUUUAAUAAAAACACAGCACUGUGCAAACACGAAAGUGGACGUAUACGGUGUGACGCCUGCCCGGUGCUGGAAGGUUAAUUGAUGGGGUCAGCCGCAAGGCGAAGCUCUUGAUCGAAGCCCCAGUAAACGGCGGCCGUAACUAUAACGGUCCUAAGGUAGCGAAAUUCCUUGUCGGGUAAGUUCCGACCUGCACGAAUGGCGUAAUGAUGGCCAGGCUGUCUCCACCCGAGACUCAGUGAAAUUGAACUCGCUGUGAAGAUGCAGUGUACCCGCGGCAAGACGGAAAGACCCCGUGAACCUUUACUAUAGCUUGACACUGAACAUUGAGCCUUGAUGUGUAGGAUAGGUGGGAGGCAUUGAAGUGUGGACGCCAGUCUGCAUGGAGCCAACCUUGAAAUACCACCCUUUAAUGU